Molecule: ribosomal RNA, 425 nt
Filed under: uncultured bacterium
Lineage: Bacteria
Description: partial 16S ribosomal RNA
Rfam family: Bacterial small subunit ribosomal RNA
Source: RNAcentral
GUGGGGAAUAUUGGGCAAUGGGCGAAAGCCUGACCCAGCAACGCCGCGUGAAGGAAGAAGGUUUUCGGAUCGUAAACUUCUAUCCUUGGUGAAGAUAAUGACGGUAGCCAAGAAGGAAGCCCCGGCUAACUACGUGCCAGCAGCCGCGGUAAUACGUAGGGGGCAAGCGUUGUCCGGAAUGAUUGGGCGUAAAGGGCGCGUAGGCGGCCCGGUAAGUCUGAAGUGAAAGUCCUGCUUUUAAGGUGGGAAUUGCUUUGGAUACUGUCGGGCUUGAGUGCAGGAGAGGUAAGCGGAAUUCCCGGUGUAGCGGUGAAAUGCGUAGAGAUCGGGAGGAACACCAGUGGCGAAGGCGGCUUACUGGACUGUAACUGACGCUGAGGCGCGAAAGUGUGGGGGGCAAACAGGAUUAGAAACCCCAGUAGUCC